GUAACCUGCCUGUAAGACUGGGAUAACUCCGGGAAACCGGGGCUAAUACCGGAUACUUGUUUGAACCGCAUGGUUCAAACAUAAAAGGUGGCUUCGGCUACCACUUACAGAUGGACCCGCGGCGCAUUAGCUAGUUGGUGAGGUAAUGGCUCACCAAGGCAACGAUGCGUAGCCGACCUGAGAGGGUGAUCGGCCACACUGGGACUGAGACACGGCCCAGACUCCUACGGGAGGCAGCAGUGGUCAUAGCU
Molecule: ribosomal RNA, 251 nt
Filed under: Bacillus sp. 108
Lineage: Bacteria; Bacillati; Bacillota; Bacilli; Caryophanales; Bacillaceae
Description: partial 16S ribosomal RNA
Rfam family: Bacterial small subunit ribosomal RNA
Source: RNAcentral